AGCGUGUCUCAGACCAACUCAGAGCUGAGCGAUCAGGCGCAUCUGCUGGGGAAGUGGAGCUUAGCUUUUCUAGAAAAAUGGCAUCUUUCUGACCACCAAACAUGAGGCCCAGAUUUAGACCCUGGGACCCACCCGGAGAAGCCACCAGUAGGGUCCUGAGACAGCUGGACUCACUCUGGAGUCAGCGUGUAUUACCCACCCCUUUCAAGUGAGCAUCUCCAGCUGCCUUAUAAAUAUUAAUUAAAAGACGCAGCAUCGCAGAGGGGCUGGUGUAAUCAUCACCAUUCAACUGAAGAGGAGACGGAAGCCUCGCUGGCCUGGUGAGGAGACGGCCCUCCGGGAGCUGUCCAGACCACCGGACGACGGUCCGAAGCUCUCAAUCCAGGCUGGACAGGCGCCGAGCCUAUAACGUGCAUCGUGAGGCGUGUGCAGUUAUUACCCACGUUUACAGAUGGCAAGACCGAGAUCCAGAGUUUCUUUCCGGGUCAGAAAGUGUCAGAGGAGGGACUCAAAGGUUUUAGGAUUCCAAGGCUGCAGUGUCUUCACUGCUCCCGUGCCCGCUCCAGACAAUUCUUUACAUCUGCAUCCAGCUUCAUGGUUUACAAAGCACUUGAUAUUACAAAGCAUUGAAACACGCGUUACUUUAUUCACUCCGUACAAGAACUCGGCGAGGCAGGAAGUCCGGAGCUAACAAGCAAGCUCCACUUUACAGAUGAGGAAAUGGAGGCUCAGAGAGGAGGGAGUCACUUGCCUGUGUUCUUAGAGCGGCAACAGUUACUCACGUCUGCAUCAAUAUUUGUAGCUUGCAAAACGCUUUCUGGUUUUGGACGUUGCAGUAGCUCCAUGAGGUCAGGAGCCCUGGUGUUAUUAUUGUUGUUGUUAUUAUUACUAGUAGUGGUGUUCUCAGUAUUCCCAUGCUACACAUGAGUAAACUAAGAUUCGGAGAAAUUGAGAAAGAAGAUGAGAAAUGAGCAUUUGUUUGUCAGACAGAAAGCUGGGUCCUGUAGCUACGUUCUCUCACCGAACCCUAACAACCCUCAGGAAAAUGUUUCCAAAGGGUUUUCAUUCAUUCAUUCAUUCAUUCAUUCAUUUGGCAAAUGUUUACAGAGCACCUGCUAUGGAAUCUGAUACUGUUCUAGGCACAGGGAACGCAGCAGUGGAUGACAGGAAAUCCUUGCCCUCACUGAGCCUAUAUUCUUUUGGGUGUGGGUGGAACAGACCACAAAUAAAGAAGCAGAGAUACACCAUACCAAAUGGCACUCAACGCGCAGAAGAAAAAUAAAGCCGGAAUCAGAAGGUCUAGCAACUCUGGGAGUCUCCACCUCGCAUGGUGCGAUGGCCAGAGUUAAGUAGCGGCCACCUCUACGGACAGAACGCCACUCUCCAGCUUGCCACAUCACCCAGGAACCCCGCUGCAGGUGUACAUUCCCAGGAACUCCCAAGGCACUUGAGAUUUUGAUCCACAGUCGGAGCUGGAAGAAAGCGCGUCAAUCACGGGAUAAUUUAUGCAGCGUGAUAUGCCUUUAUUAUUCCACGCUGAGUCGGGGCUUCUACUGUCCAAUGAAGGUCAAAAGGAGGUAUGGCUUUUAUCUCUCCAGCAACUCUGGAAGCAUGGGGGGAGGGGGCGGACUCUCAGAGGCUUCCUCCUGAAAACAAACAGAUCCUCGCGGCGGCCCUGAAUAGCUUUCCUCAAUCAAAGCUGUAAAAGUCCGCGAGCAGCGGGGCCUCGCCCUGGGACUGGAGCGAACUAAUAAAGCGUUGAAUGGAGAGAGUGACCCCGAACUGGCAGAGGGGUCCCCGCUGGGCCUGGGCCCGCGCCUGCUGCCUCGCGGAGAAUCCAGAGGUCACGUGUCAUUAGUCAGUGUCUUACCGCGACCCUUUCAAAAUUAUCGAUAAAGGGGAAGGAGAUCCUUUCUGUUUCGAAUCCCCGAACGAUUUUCUUCUCUCUUUUCUUUCUUUUUUCACUGGUGGAAAGGCUACAUGGCAACAUCUUUUUCCUGUUUUCUUUCAGACGCGAGAAGAACUGGUUUGAAAUCAGGAGUUUCAUGCUUGGGGAGAAAUAAAGGUUGGGACCAGAUUCUUUUCUUUUUGAUGCAGUUUCUCAGUGAAGCCCCUGCUCUGAGAAGUCACUAGAUUUGGGUUCCCAUGAAAACUUGUCUUGUUUCAUCCUCGUCCUAAAGCCUGUCUCAACAGUUCUAAAAACUCCCGAGGCGUCUCUCUUCUCUCUGUCCUCAGUUUGGGUGAAGGCCGCCUGGGACCUCUGUAAAGACAGGAGGGGGCGCUGGAUCUCAAACAGCUGGGAGCCUCCACAAUCGCCUGUUCUCCCCAUGACUCAGUUUCCUCAUCCGUACACAACGGGCAGCGUCCUGGGCCCAGUGGGAAGUGACCUGGAUGACCUCAUUAGGGUCUGAGGAGCACUUUAAAGAGAUAAUCGGCCAUUACUCUAAUGGGAACAAUGAUGAUGAUAUUAUUUCCUUUAUUGUUUACUCAGCCCCAGCAGUUUACAGCUGAGGCCAACAGGUGGUUGUGGUCGCGUUAAUCUUUAAUCCAUUAGCCACGAUCGAUUCCAUGACAUUCCUGGGUUUAUAGGUAGUCGUUAUAUUGCUUUUUAUUUGUUGUAUAUUUUGUGAAUUAAUUAAGGGCCGCAUCAUACCUCAUCUGAAAAUGCCUGUUGCAAAGGCAGUCUUGAUGCAUGUGCAUGUGCUCUUAGUCAAAAUGACCCUUCGGAGUUCCUUAAAUCAUUCGUAAAGCACUGUAUAUGGGAUUAUGUGUGUAUAACACUGUAUAGUAAUAAACAUAGAGAGACAUAACAAAAACAGUAAGGGGCAGAUUGGAAUAAAUCCUAUUGCUUUGGACAUCAGAUGAAGCACCUGGCUGGUGUUGAGAAGGACAUGUUUUAUGAAUAUUUUGUACCUUUAAACCCUAGAAUCCUGCUCCUCAAGGCAAGAUGCUCAGAGGUGCCCCCACCCUAUUUAAAUCUCUCAUGUUAAAAUAGAAUUUGAAUAAGUUAAAUGCUCUUGUAAUGUGACCUCCAGGGUAACUAUUUUUUCCCACGGGCUCAUCUGUGAGUAUUGGGUUAUUUUAACUCCGAAUAAAUGAAUAGACCCACAUCUCAUUUGUCUCAAAUGAGCAGCCAGUCAGUCCCUCAGUGUUUGGUGGACACUCUCCACGUCUCACUGGGCUGUAAUUGGCCUUUCUGUCCUCGAGAAUUUAGGAACCCAGCAGAGGCUCCGGCUGGCUUGACGUCAGGCCCCCCUUGAGCUUCCAGUCAUCCUCAGAGGAUCCCUAAACGAAGGUCCCCAGCCAAGCUGCAGGGACUCAGUCCUUGUCCUGCCCUUCCUGGGCUUCUCCUGGCCUGAGAAAUGGGGCCCAAUUGGGUUUGUCCUGCCCAGAAACAAGACCCUGGUUUAUCACGUUGGUUUAGCGCAUGGAAAUUUCAGGUGUACCUCGUUAGAUUUCGUCUUCUCUAUAGACUGCAUGGAGUUCGCCAUCAAAAGUCUAGUUUCCAUCCACCACCAUACACAUGUGCCCCUUUUUUCAUUUCUUAUAACGAUUGGUUUAUUUUUUGUUAUUGUUUUUGAUUCUAUGGAUUCUUUUUAUCAUUGAUAAUUAGCUUUCAUGAUGAUGAUUCUUUCCAUUUUUACCAGCCUGGAUUAUUUACUGUCAUACAGGAGUGUGACAUAAAGGAAUGAUUAUUAAUUGUCCCUGACAAUGUAAGCAUCAACUCAAAUGAUGGCAAUGAUCACAUCACCAGUCUUAUCUUUCCUGUUCAUGUGCAGCGGGGAAGUUACACAUUUAUUCAUUCCUUUAUCUGAAUUUGUUUUCCUCAAAUCGCAAAACAAGGGGCAUCAAGUUGUGACGUGUCUCAUUUGGCUCUGCUCAGACUUUUUAAGAGGACACAGUUGCCAAGAGUAGGGGCUGGUGUCACCCGCUCUGUGCCCUGGCUUUCUCCCCGUGUAGCAUGUGGGUGAUUACCGUCUGUAUUUCACGGGCCUGUUAGGAGGCUUAAAUGGGACCCUGUAAAGCUCUUAGUACAAAAUGGUUCACAAGUGAUGCCCAUGGUUAGACAAGAGGUGAUACUUGGGCCUCAGUUUCUUCAUUAAUAAAAUGGAUGUGUUAGGGCCUGCCCUGUGGCUGAGUGGUCAAUUCGAAGGGCUGGGCUUCGGCAGCCUGGGUUUUCGCUGGUUUGGAUCCCGGGCACGGACAUGGCACUGCUCAUCAGGCCAUGCUGAAGCAGCGUCCCACAUAGCACAGCCAGGAGGACCUGCAGCUUGAAUAUACAACUAUGUCCUGGAGGGCUUUGAGGAGAAGAAGAAAAAAAAAAGCACAAAAAAAGAUUGGCAACAGAUGUUAGUUCAGGUGCCAAAAAGAAAUAAAAUGGAAGUGCUGACCCUCCCUGCCUGAAUCCUGUGGGGAUUUGGGGCUACCGAGUGGCGGGUAAAGUGUCCAGCGUUUGGUCAGUGCUGCCUCACUGCUGACUCCCGUCUCCUUCCCACUUGUUCACCUUGAACCCCAGGGAGCUUCUGUGAGAGGGAAAACAUAGCUUAGCCUGGCCCAGGGCGGAGGCCCCGCCCCACGAGGAGCCCUGAAACCUCAACCUGGCCAACAGAGCCAGGAAUGGAGCCAUGAACACACGGGGCCCAUCCCCUUAGGAGCAGAGAAGGCAGCCGGGUUCUUUCUAAGCUUUCUGCUGGGGACUCACAUUUUGUUAGCAUGGAGAUAAAUAACGCCAGAUAAGAGGCCUCUGGUUUUACAUCUGGGGCUGUAGGAACGUCCUCUGGGAGAGGAGGCAGGACGUUUCUUGCCAGGGCGAAUCCCAGCCCGGGAGGAGGCAGGCGGCGCCGCCUGCGGCUUCCUAGCUCAGUGGGGAGCAAGUUUUGACAACAGCAAUGCUAAUUGAUUAAAUGUUCUCAUCAGAGAUUACAGUGCAGAGAGUGAUCACAUUUUUAUUUCUGCAGAGUGGGGAGGGGCUUCCCUUCCUUUAAUAGCUCCGUUUAUCCGUGUAUAUUGUAACCCAAUGUACAAGGGGCCCUGAUUCGUUAUUCCUGGACCCUCAGGCUCAGUCACUCUCAUCUUAGAUAACAUGUUUACUAUAAACUACUUGGUGCAAUUGCCUUUGGUUUUCUGGGUUUGGUCGGAAUUUGAUCCUGCAGUGGACAGAGCACCGGACUUCAGAGUUGUAGGAUCGAACCCUGGUCCUGCCACGUAGCCGGUGUGUGGGUUUGGGAAGGCACUUGCAUUCUCUGCGUGGGUCUCGCUUUUCUUAUCCGUAAAAUGGGGACUCGAUAUACCUAUUUCUUAAAAAACUACAGUGCAGGGGCCGGCCCCAUGGCCUAGUGGUUAAGUUCGUACACUCUGCUUCGGUGGCCCAGGGUUUUGCUGGUUGGGAUCCUGGGUGGGGACCUAGCACCGCUCAUCAAGCCAUGCUGAGGCAGCAUCCCACAUGCCACAACUAGAAUGACUCACGACUAAAAUAUACAACUAUGUACUGGGGGGCUUUGGGGAGAAGAAGGAAAAAAUGUAUACAGAGAGCAGGUUAAAAAAAAAGCCAUAAGCUUUCCUUAAAAAACAAACAAACAGGGGCCCGCCCAGUGGCACAGCGGUUAAAUUUGCAUGUUCUGCUUCAGCUUCUCUGGUUCAGAUCCUGUGUGCGGACCUAUGCACUGCUUAUCAAGCCAUGCUGUGGUAGGUGUCCCACAUAGAAAGUGGAGGAAGAUGGGCACAGAUGUUAGCUCAGGGACAGUCUUCCUCAGCAAAAAGAGGAGGAUUGGCAGCGGAUGUUAGCUCAUGGCUCAUCUGCCUCAAAAAAACCUCCAAACAAACAAAUAAAAGCCUUUGACAAAAGACACUGUGAAGGUGCUGGCCCCAUGGCUGAGUGGUUGAAGUUCUGUGUGCUCCGUUUGGCGGCCAGGGUUUGCAGGUUUGGAUCCCAAGUGCAGAUCUGCUCCACUCAUCAGCCAUGCUGUGGAGGCAUCCCACAUACAAAGUAGAGGAAGAUUGGCACAGAUGUUAGCUCAGGGCUAAUCUUCCUCAAGCAAAAAAAAAAAAAAAAAAAAAGAGAGAGAAUUGGCAAUGGAUGUUAGCUCAGGGUGAAACUUCCUCUCCCAAAAAAGAGACCAAUACACUGUGAAGACAAUGAAAAGGCAGCCAGAGGCUAGGAGAAAAUAGUUGCAAUACAUAUAUUUGACAUAGUAUUUGUAAUCAGAAUAUAUAAAGAAUUUUUUCAACUCAAUAAUAAGACAUCAAAUAGCCCAGUUAAAAAAUGAGCAAGAGUUGGACACUUCACCAAAGAACUUAUGCAAAUGGUCAGUAAGCACAAUACAAGAUGCUCAACACGAUUAAUCAUCAGAGAAUUGCAAAUUAAAACCAUAGUGAGAUACCACUCCACACCCAUUAGAAGGGCUAAAAUCAAAAACACCAACAACGCUUCUGCUGGCUAGGGCAGGAAUCAGUGGGAACCCACACGUGGCACUCGGAAAUGUAUGGGGGCCGGCCCAGUGGCACAGCGGUUAAGUGCACAUGUUCCUCUUUGGCAGCCCCGGGUUCAUUGGUUUGGAUCCCGGGAGCACUCAUGGCACCGUUUGUCAAGCCAUGCUGUGGCAGGCGUCCCACAUAUAAAGUAAAUGAAGAUGGGCACGGAUGUUAGCUGAGGGCCAGUCUUCCUCAGCAAAAAGAGGAGGAUUGGCAGCAGAUGUUAGCUCAGGGCUAAUCUUCCUAAAAAAAAAAAAAAAAAGGAAAUGUAUAAUGGUACAAACCUGAGAAAAGCAGUUUGGCAGUUUUUUAAAAAUAAAAUUAAACAUGUAUCUAUUAUAUGACACAGCAAUUCUACUCUCUACUCCUAAGUAUUUAUUCGGGAAAAAAAUGAAAAUGUGCACAUGAAUCUUGACAGCAGCUUUAUUCCUAAUAG
This 6907-nucleotide long non-coding RNA is filed under the name Equus caballus (horse). RNAcentral describes it as "lncRNA (ENSECAG00000034304.3)". Lineage: Eukaryota; Metazoa; Chordata; Mammalia; Perissodactyla; Equidae. The record is from RNAcentral.